AUAGCGUCAGCGUCGUUCGUUCAUUCUCGUAGUCGCUUGCCGUUUGCCUUUGUCAUUUUCUCGCGUUGUUUUUUCGAGGUAGUCGUCGGUUUUUUUCUGUUAGUCGCUGCGGUUGUUGAUUUUUAUUAUGGAAUGUACAACAACAGCGACAACAGCAACAGCAACAGCA
This is a long non-coding RNA of Drosophila subobscura, 169 nucleotides long. RefSeq lists it as uncharacterized. Lineage: Eukaryota; Metazoa; Arthropoda; Insecta; Diptera; Drosophilidae. The record is from RefSeq and is a predicted model, not a curated record. The transcript has 3 exons.